UUAAAGAGCAAAACGAAAGACCUAAAAAUUAGUCCUGCUAUGCUAGGACAUGGGACAUAGGACUGUUAAAUCCACAGAGCCUAGUAAAAUGGCAGGCACCUGGCAGCAGAGUAUGCUUCAUGAGUGAUUCCCUUCACUAAGGAACAAUCAUUAAACAUACAAGGAACCCUACCCAGCCCCUUUGAGGUCCCUCCCCCUAUUCUCAUAUUUGCUUUUUAGAUUAGUUACCUCUGGUAAUAAGAUUGUUAUUUUUAAUGUAUUAAGUUAUCUCUUUUUUGUCCCUCCCACUGCUCACCAUGAUGCUGGGUUUAUUCUAAAGGUGUAACAAUUAGUCAGGUUGAUGAAGAAACAUUCUCCAUAUUUGCACCAACACCUACUGCAAUGCAUGAGGCAAGAGACUUCAUUACAGAAAUUUGCAGAGAUGAUCAAGAGCAACAAUUGGAAUUUGGAGCAGUUUAUACCGCUACAAUAACUGAAAUCAGGUAAUUACAAGUAAACAGUGGGUUCACUUUUAAAAGACUUGUACUGCAAGCCCAGACUCAC
This 543-nucleotide long non-coding RNA is filed under the name Rattus norvegicus (Norway rat). Its description in RNAcentral is "long non-coding RNA NONRATT009649". The record is from RNAcentral. Lineage: Eukaryota; Metazoa; Chordata; Mammalia; Rodentia; Muridae.